AUACGGAGGACGCGAGCGUUAUCCGGAUUUAUUGGGUUUAAAGGGUGCGCAGGCGGGAGAUUAAGUCGGCGGUGAAAUUUUGCAGCUCAACUGUAAAAGGGCCUUCGAAACUGGUUUCCUUGAGUGUAGAUGAAGUAGGCGGAAUUUGUGGUGUAGCGGUGAAAUGCAUAGAUAUCACGAGGAACUCCGAUUGCGCAGGCAGCUUACUAAACUACUACUGACGCUCAGGCACGAAGGCGUGGGGAUCAAACAGGAUUAGAUACCCUGGUAGUCCACGCAGUAAACGAUGAUUACUAGCUGUUUGCGAUACAAUCUAAGCGGCUGAGCGAAAGCGUUAAGUAAUCCUCCUGGGGAGUACGUUCGCAAGAAUGAAACUCAAAGGAAUUGACGGGG
This 393-nucleotide ribosomal RNA is filed under the name uncultured bacterium. RNAcentral describes it as "partial 16S ribosomal RNA". It matches the Rfam family "Bacterial small subunit ribosomal RNA", at positions 523 to 918 of the family's 1533-position model. The record is from RNAcentral.